AAUUUUUACAAUGAAGAGUUUGAUCCUGGCUCAGGAUGAACGCUAGCGGCAGGCUUAACACAUGCAAGUCGAGGGGCAGCACUGGUAGCAAUACCUGGUGGCGACCGGCGCAAGGGUGCGUAACGCGUGAGCAACAUGCCCGUAUCAGGGGAAUAAUCCAGGGAAACUUGGUCUAAUACCCCAUAGUAAAUAUU
This 194-nucleotide ribosomal RNA is filed under the name Bacteroidetes bacterium HGW-Bacteroidetes-14. RNAcentral's name for it is "partial 16S ribosomal RNA". It matches the Rfam family "Bacterial small subunit ribosomal RNA", at positions 1 to 184 of the family's 1533-position model. Lineage: Bacteria; Pseudomonadati; Bacteroidota. The record is from RNAcentral.